RNAcentral lists this ribosomal RNA (266 nucleotides) under uncultured bacterium. Its description in RNAcentral is "partial 16S ribosomal RNA". It matches the Rfam family "Bacterial small subunit ribosomal RNA", at positions 793 to 1055 of the family's 1533-position model. The record is from RNAcentral.
GUCCACGCCCUAAACGAUGCAUAUUUGGUGUAGGUCAUUCAGUUGAUCUGUGCCGGAGCUAACGCGUUAAAUAUGCCGCCUGGGGAGUACAGUCGCAAGGCUGAAACUCAAAGGAAUUGACGGGGGCCCGCACAAGCGGUGGAGCAUGUGGUUCAAUUCGACGCAACGCGAAGAACCUUACCUGGGCUCGAAACGGCUGGUUAACGGCAUUGGAAAACAGUGCUACUCCGCAAGGAGGUCCAGUCGAGGUGCUGCAUGGCUGUCGU